Molecule: ribosomal RNA, 460 nt
Filed under: uncultured bacterium
Lineage: Bacteria
Description: partial 16S ribosomal RNA
Rfam family: Bacterial small subunit ribosomal RNA
Source: RNAcentral
CCUACGGGUGGCAGCAGUGAGGAAUAUUGGUCAAUGGACGUAAGCCUGAACCAGCCAAGUCGCGUGAAGGACGACUGCCCUACGGGUUGUAAACCUCUUUUACAUGGGAAUAAACUGCUCCACGCGUGGCGUCUUGUAUGUACCAGAUGAAUAAGGAUCGGCUAACUCCGUGCCAGCAGCCGCGGUAAUACGUAGGUGCCGAGCGUUAUCCGGAUUUAUUGGGUGUAAAGCGAGCGCAGGCGGUUGCUUAGGUCUGAUGUGAAAGUUUUCGGCUUAACCGAAGAAGUGCAGUGGAAACCGGGAGUCUUGAGUGCAGUAGAGGAGAGCGGAACUCGAGGUGUAGCGGUGGAAUGCGUAGAUAUAUCGAAGAACUCCGGUGGCGAAGGCAGCUGUCUGGACUGCAACUGACGCUGAGGCUCGAAAGUAUGGGUAGCGAACAGGAUUAGAUACCCGGGUAGUC